UAUUAUUUGUACCCAGGGGUCUUGUACUGGCUUGCUAACUAAGCCAUAAGGCGAAACGAUUAGGCUUGGUGUUUUUUGGUGACUGGUGAGGCCCUGCUAGUUGCCAAGUGGCUUGAGAGGCUCUAUCUAUGCUUGGCGCGUGGGGAUUUUUUGUGGCCACCGAACGUUGUGGCAGGAUUUUGGCCUCUCGGUGACAGUAACCAGAAAAUAGGAAGGGGAGUGACAGGUGAGGCCCUCUCUAUAAUACAGUGCGAGGCGGCUAGCUCACGAGUGGCCCGAGGGGUGUAUGCCUCCGAGUGUGAGGCGGGGUGUUGGCCUCGCGGGACCACUAACCGAAGCAUAAAGCAGAGAAAACAGGGGGUAAUACCUAUUGGGCCAUAGAACCCUAAUUGCCAGUACAUUACUACUAUUCCAGGGAAGGUAAGAGAUGGAUAACUACGUGAGCAGGUGUACGUACCUUGCAGUAUGGUAUUGAACCUGACAAUCUGUAUAGGUUUUUUAGUAGUAACUGUAACCUGAAUGGAUAAAAUCGUAUGGCAUAAGGAAAUAUGGCAUAGACCAAGCUUAUCUUAAAACAUACAGUAUAUGUGAAAAGUAAAGUACCGUGAUAUGUAAAUAUUAAACAUCAUAGCCAUACUGGUUAAAUAUGUAUCAAUCUUAACCCAUUAAGUGCCGUAUGUACAAGUGAAAAAGUGGUCUGUCCCCACCUUGUAUGUUGUAUGUCCCCUUGCAAGGGGAAAGUCUGUUGUGUGAGCAGUGUGCUGUGAAAAAUGUAUGUGAACUAUAUUACCAGUUACGUAUAUACAGAUGCGUGUGCAACUGUG
Non-coding RNA from Pelobates cultripes (western spadefoot toad), 824 nucleotides. The record is from the annotation of a GenBank genome assembly. Lineage: Eukaryota; Metazoa; Chordata; Amphibia; Anura; Pelobatidae.